This 1433-nucleotide long non-coding RNA is filed under the name Anas platyrhynchos platyrhynchos (common mallard). RNAcentral describes it as "lncRNA (ENSAPLG00000018847.1)". The record is from RNAcentral. Lineage: Eukaryota; Metazoa; Chordata; Aves; Anseriformes; Anatidae.
CCGGUCCCGGUUCCGGUCCCGGUUCCGGGGGCGGGGCGAGGCGGGGCCGCGCCAACCAAUGGGAUCGCGCCGCGGCCCUGUUGCCUUGGAGACCGCGGGCUGCCCGGCCGAGGAGCCGCUCCCAUUGGCUGCCGCCUCGGCGCGGGCCCGGCGCAGGGCGCGAUCCCAUUGGCUGCGGCGCCGCCCGCUGUUGCCAUGGCGACAGCGCCCGAGUGCGGCCUAGGCCCGGCCCCGAGCCCUGGGGCCUGGCCCGGGGGCGAGCAGCGGGCACCGGGCACCGGGAACGGCCCUGAGGGGGGCUGGGGGGAGCCCCGCGGGGUCAGGCGGAGCCGCAGGGCCCGGUCUCGGUGUUGGGGGCACGAGUGUCCCGUGCGGAAGCGGGGAUGGAGCCAAGAGGCCUGGUCCCGGGGGGGCUGAGGGGAGCGGUACGUGCCCGGUGCCCGCUGCCCGCUGCCCGGUACCGGGGCUGUGGCACUGAGGGCACCGGGGGGAGCUGAGGGGAGCCGUGCGGGUCCCUGCCCGGUGCUGGGGCUGUGACACUGCGGCCGUUACCUCAGCAUCUCCCAAAUGAGCCCUCAGAGGUGCUGGGGAGGCGUUAACGGAAACCUCAGGGCCCGGCAGGAACCGGGGAUGGGGUGGUGAGGGUGAGGCCGGAGCGGUCUCAGCCCACAAAGCGCCCCUGACCCCCCCCAUCUCCUCCUUUAUGCCACAUUCAGGGGCGCAGCAAGCGGCAGGAGGCCGAAGCGGAGAGGGGAGCAGUGGCCCGCGAGCUGAGCCUGCCACCGAUCCCCAGCGAGGACAAGAGGAGAGGGGAGAAGAAGAAGCCAGUUACAUUUAUGUCGAGUAAAAAAACACCCCUGCCUUCGAAGAAAGCGGUAUCCCAAGAGAAAUACAGAAGUUUUACCGAGAAGAAGUCAGCGCUCAAGGAGGCUGAAAUAGCUGAGGCGUUGGAAGAGAUCAAAAUCACCACGGAUCUGACCCAGCAGAAGAUAAAUGCCAUAGAGGAGCUGAAGCAGCGCAGCGCCCGCCUGGAAGAGGCCAACUGCCGGCUGAUGAAGGACAUCCAGCACACCGAUGCCAGCACUGCCAAGCGAGCCAGAGACCUGCUGCAGCAGUACGAACAGUUUCAGAUGGUCAAGGCAGAGACACAGAUCUCCAGUCAGAAGAGACUGGACACAGCGAGGGCAGAGCUGCAGGAAAUGGAAAAAACAAUGGAAAAGAAUCUGGGAGAGCUACAGCAGCAGCUGGAUGAAGCCACAUCCAACGUACAGGUUCUCCAGGACGAGCUCGGCGUCCUGCGGACCUACACGGACGUGCAUUAUCCCAAACAGGCUCUCCAGAUUGUCCUCCUGCUCUCCGACAUCCAGAACCUGAAGAAGCAGCAGCAGGUGCUGAGACCUCUCCUUCCUUGCAGCGUUGCUCUGGGGGCUGGA